RNAcentral lists this ribosomal RNA (935 nucleotides) under Hypechiniscus sp. 1 PG-2020. Its description in RNAcentral is "SSU rRNA". It matches the Rfam family "Eukaryotic small subunit ribosomal RNA", at positions 131 to 973 of the family's 1831-position model. The record is from RNAcentral. Lineage: Eukaryota; Metazoa; Tardigrada; Heterotardigrada; Echiniscoidea; Echiniscidae.
AAAUGUACAUGGAUAACUGUGGUAAUUCUAGAGCUAAUACAUGCAGGAAGCCCUGACCUCUUGUAGGCACGGGCGCAGUUAUUAGAUCAAAAACCAAUCAGCAGCAUUCUCGGAUGCAGCUGUCUUUUGGUGAAACUGAGUAACCACAGCAAACCGUAUAGCCUCGCGCUUGACGGUCUGUAGGUCAAGCAACUGCCUUAUCAGCUUGUUGUUAGGUUACAUGCCUAACAAGGCGUCAACGGGUAACGAACGAUCGGGGUCGGACAUCGGAGAGGGAGCCUGAGAAACGGCUACCACUUCCAAGGAAGGCAGCAGGCGCGCAAAUUACCCACUUCUAGCACAGAGAGGUAGUGACGAGAUGUAUCGAUGCGGAGCCUUUAGUGCUUUCGUAAUCGGAAUGAGUACACUUUAAAUCCUUUAACGAGGAUCUAUUGGAGGGCAAGUCUGGUGCCAGCAGCCGCGGUAAUUCCAGCUCCAAUAGCGUAUAUUAAUGCUGCUGCGGUUAAAAAGCUCGUAGUCGGAUUUGGGUUUCCGGCGGACACUACAGUGUGCUUCUUGCAUGCUGCUUGUGUUAUACGUGCCACUUUGGUGGUACUGCUGGCAUGACGCUAUCUCAUUGUAGGUACGGCAUGUCAGUCGCCGGGACCACGGGCCGGGCUGAAUUUCAUGCUCUUUAUUGAGUGUGUUGUUCACUCGGUGCGUUUACUUUGAAAAAAUUGGAGUGCUUAAAGCAAUCGUAUAUCUGCAAAUGCGGACUGAACAGUGGUGCAUGGAAUAAUAGAAUAGGACCUCGGUUCUAUUUUGUUGGUUUUAAGAUAUCGAGGUAAUGAUUAAGAGGGACAGACGGGGAGAUUUGUAUUGCGACGUUAGAGGUGAAAUUCUUGGAUCGUCGCAAGACAAACUAAUGCGAAAGCAUUUCUCUAGAAUGUUUUCAU